ACUGCCCCAACCCCCAAACCCAAGCCAACUUUCUGCGUUUCUCUCCCGUUUUCCCGGAUGGAAGAUUUCUAACUCUUUCAGAGCCUUUCGCGCAAGAAUGACACCGUGGAGCUAAGCGGCACUUUUAAAUAGGGAUGGAGAGGGGAAAGACGUGAAUUUCUGGAGACAUGAAAGAGCUUUCUCCGCUCCGAGGGAGCCUGGCCGUGGGGAUCUUUGUUUGUCACCGGAGGCUCGGCUCACCCCCUACAUCUGGGAUCAAAUAUUUUCCUGAUAAAGACGGAGAAAUAUUUAGACAACGCAGACAGACCACAGGGAGUGACAAUCACGACAAGAAACGAGCAGUGUAUGGCUAGUGAUGUGCCUUCCUGAGGAGAAUGGCUGCAAUGUCUGUUUGGAAUUAUUCCUGGAAUUAGACCAGCAUGAGGUCUUCUCUACCAACCUGAGAACCAAAGAAGAGAUUGGAUUACUCCCCAUAAGAGUCAGCAAAAAUUCCACCAUUAGUUCCUACUUCAUGGAAGACCUGGUCCCAGCCAGAAAUUGCUCAUGGCCUGCGAUUCACUUUGAGUUGUGUUUGUUCAUACCAUCUCUCCAUUGCUGUCAGCUGUAUGUAAAGUAUGAGGCCAAAACAAGACAGCAUCGCCACGGGGAAAUGGAGUUUAGAACUGGCUCUCGAUACUUGGUGGACCUUUGGCAGGAGGCCAAGGAGAAUCAGAAUAAAAAACCAGAAUAAAAUGCCAAAUGCAAGAAAAUAACAGCAACUUAAUAUGAUUUAAUACCAAUAAAGUGGUUAAGGUUGCAGGCACCUCACACCGUUUGCAGCAGUGCAGCCUUUCCACACUCCUGUGCUACGGGGAACCAGGGACAACAUAUUUUGCAGUGGGACAACCUAUAAAGAAGAAAUACAUACUGUCACCUAACUGAGACCAACUGGCCAAUACCAAGGCAAAUCCUACACCGUCUACCUGUUGUCUACCCUUCGCUGGAGCUGUGUAAAGCUACUGAAAGAGUCAUUCAGUUUUGGGGCCAUGCAUUUGAUUUUAUUUCCCUGCUCAAGCAAAAUAGUACCAGAUGCUUCGGAUGGGAUAAACCUGUAUCACAGCUGUGCAAGGUUGGAAGGAAGAACGUUUUCCAUUAAAAUCCCGCUAGUAGGGAAGUGGAGCUCUUUGCUUCUGGAUCUUAAUGGGAAGUUAGAAAAAGUAAAUUAUGGGACUAUCGACAUGGUGUGAAAUGAUGGAACAUCAAGUGAGAAAAGGUCUUGAUUUCACUUUCACAAUCUGGACUAGAGGAAUGUUCCUUUUGCCCACUUUUUCUGUGGGAUUGAUGGGUGUGAUGUACGACAUUGGGCAGCCAGGAAAGGCAAGCCUGGUAUUCGGAAAUCAGAAUAGUCUCAGCGCAGUUUCCAGAAGAACCCAAUUUUAACUGGACUUGAAGGGGACUGCAAUUACCCCCUUGAACCUUCAACGGGCGGAACCAGACAUGUCAUUAAGAAGGUGACACUAAUACUGAGGUAUCCCUGCACCACAGAGCAGCCUCCAGAGAAAAACAUCGCCUUAAGGCUACGAGGUGUGCUGCCUGCACUCGUGGCCACUGGCUACCUCCUGCUAAAGAGGUGCUAAGAAAACUCAAAUUGAUCUGUGCUGAAAAUUGCAUGAUGUUCCGCCAUCACUAUGAAAGAGGCUAUUAGUUCUGGGAAAGCUACUAUAUCAUUUCACAGAGACACUUCCCAUGGCUGAAAUAUAUUUGAAUUAAAUUAAUUUCUGAAUAAAAAAUGAACUGGAUAAUUUAAUGGAUGGUACUGGGGUCAAAGUUUGGUGUUCUGGAUUCUCUCUUUGCUUUAAAAAAAAACAUGAAUGAAACGUAGUUCACUUCCACCCUCUUCUGUGUAUCUUUUUGUUAACUAUCUAUAUAAAUGAUUACCUAUGAAAAUGCUAACGUGAUCAUCACAACCAUCAGAAAAUGUUUUCCACAUCCUAAAACGAAUCUUUUUUUUUCUUUUCUUCUCUUAAUAUCUGAAGUGGAAAGUGGAAGUGGAAAGUGAGUGCAGAAAGAUAACGCCUUAGUCAUGGAUCAUUUUGUUUGACUUCUGUGGAGAGAAGCAGUUUACUUUAUGGUAUUUAUAUUGCAAUAAAGAGUUAAUGCUAACUGUUUUGUUUUGUUUUGUCUGUGAUGAGGUAUCGUAGCUGCAUUCCACAGCAGCACUUAGGAGGGAUUACUGAAUACUGGGAAAUACCACUACGGUUCCAAAUGUUUUGGAAACAAGAUGUGUUAGCAACAAAAAGAAAACUUGGUCUUUAUCUGCAUCACAGCAUAUUCUGAAGGCAGUAAUUGCUGAUAAACUCUACAGUGAGAUGUGCAGUUUGCACUGCUUUGGGGGCAGGAACAGUUCUGCUUUUGGACAGCACAUGGCAUAAAAAGAAUCCUUGAGUCAAGGCACCACCACAAUGUAAGAUAAGUAAAAACCUGAGUCUCAGUUUAUUUCUAAUUCUUCUUCAAGGAUUUGCCGAUCACCCCAAGCUUCUGAGCAAGUCCAAUAGGCACCUUUAGCACAUGCGCUGUUUCUAGUGCAUGCAAAAUUGUAAGGUGUGUGUUUCUUCAUGGUGGAGUACGGUUCCUGAGACCUCAGGCCAGAACUGUGCAGAGGAACCUGGAGAGUGCUCAGAGACUGCUAAUUUAAGUGCAUCUUCAGGGGUAUGCAUUAACUUAGCUGGGUUCUUCAAGUAGAAGCAAGUCUACUGUGUUGAUAGAGAGUUAAACUUAAUGGAAGAUGAAAAAGGUUCAAAAUACCCUGAGAUGCAUGUACAACUACUGCAUCAAAAUACUUAUUUGCUUGUUUACUGACUUAUUUAUUUUAGGUGGGAUUUAGCAAUAACUUUUACUUGGACCCUUUCAUUAUUUACCUGUUGCACGAUGUACUGGAAAUGCAGCUCUUCUAUUAAAUUUCUAUUUGCUCACUAAUGGACAAAAACCUUAAGGACAUUUUUUCAUUCUAAACGUAUAUAAACUUCUGGAACAGGCUGAUUUACAGCAAGUCAUAAUUUUGAAAUGGAAAUCAACAAGAAAAAGCUAUGAUUGGUACCUAAAGCAUGUUUUUUGUACUUUAUAAUGUUUAUGAAUUUUAU
Molecule: non-coding RNA, 3119 nt
Organism: Phalacrocorax carbo (great cormorant)
Lineage: Eukaryota; Metazoa; Chordata; Aves; Suliformes; Phalacrocoracidae
Source: RefSeq, a predicted model, not a curated record